AUCCUCGAUUGUUUUUUUGAGUAUUUUGGAUUCUGCAGAUUUUGGUUGCACCGAGAAAUAGUUCAAGACUUGCGCAAACUUUUUAGUUGAAAAGGGGAGUGAGUCCGCAACUGGACGCGGUAAGAAAGCAGUUUUGCUGGCUUUACUGGUUAGCACCUUUAAGUUCAUCUUAGUACCAGGUCGAAGCUUACUCUCAAAAAAGAAAACGUCCUUAUUGGUUGCCAUAUUUCCAUCUCCAAACUCUUGUUUUGAAUUGCCUGCUGCGUUUUCAUAAUUCCUAUUACCCUCUGCCAUAUUUCCUUUGUACCUUUUGAUCAUAUUAGCCAAAGCAUUUUUCAUGUGAUUUCCUACAUAUAUUUCAUUUGCAGAGAGAUAUCUAGAGCAUUAGAAGACUUACCUGAAUUAUAUAUGUCUACUCAAUCAUUGAGGAAAAGAAAAGAAAAUUGAAAACAAACCAGCAGCAGCAGGGGGGAUUAAAAGAUUUUGCAAGGCUUUGGGCAUUGGAGUGUUUGGGAACACAGACGUCCAGUACAUCUCUGCUGGUAG
RNAcentral lists this long non-coding RNA (546 nucleotides) under Gossypium barbadense (sea-island cotton). Its description in RNAcentral is "long non-coding RNA (GBAR_LNC003654)". The record is from RNAcentral. Lineage: Eukaryota; Viridiplantae; Streptophyta; Magnoliopsida; Malvales; Malvaceae.